This 1842-nucleotide ribosomal RNA is filed under the name Triticum aestivum (bread wheat). RNAcentral's name for it is "partial small subunit ribosomal RNA". Lineage: Eukaryota; Viridiplantae; Streptophyta; Magnoliopsida; Poales; Poaceae. The record is from RNAcentral.
AUGAAGUACGUGGUGGUGACCGGCGGCGUGGUGAGCGGGCUGGGCAAGGGCGUCACCGCCAGCAGCAUCGGCGCCGUGCUCAAGGCCUGCGGCCUCCGCGUCACCACCAUCAAGAUCGAUCCAUACCUCAACACCGACGCUGGCACAAUGUCUCCGAUCGAGCACGGCGAGGUCUACGUUUUGGAAGACGGUGGAGAGGUGGACUUGGACCUUGGGAACUAUGAACGUUUUCUGGACAUCAAAUUGACCCGUGACCACAAUAUAACCACAGGAAAGGUCUAUCAGGCUGUCAUUGACAAAGAAAGGAGAGGAGACUACUUGGGGAAAACCGUCCAGGUUGUGCCACAUAUCACAGAUGAAAUUCAGGAUUGGAUCGAACGCGUGGCGAUAAAGCCGGUCGACGGUAAAGAAGGGCCUCCUGAUGUUUGUGUAAUAGAGCUCGGUGGCACUAUAGGGGAUAUUGAAUCAAUGCCUUUUAUUGAAGCAUUAGGUCAAUUUUCAUACCGUGUCGGGCCUGGAAACUUCUGCCUGGUCCACGUCAGCCUUGUUCCGGUACUAAAUGUAGUUGGUGAACAGAAAACUAAGCCUACCCAACAUAGUGUUCGUGGCCUAAGGGGACUUGGGUUGGCACCUGACAUUUUGGCAUGCCGCAGUACCGAGCCACUGGAGGAACAUGUGACAACCAAGCUCUCACAAUUCUGCAAUGUGCCAAUCCCAAAUAUUGUGAACCUCCAUGACGUUACAAACAUUUGGCAUAUCCCCUUGUUGCUAAGGGACCAGAAGGCACAUGAAGCCAUUCUGAAAGUUUUAGAUCUUCAGCUUGUUGGCAAAGUACAUCGAGAACCUAAGUUGUCUGAAUGGACCGAAAGAGCCAGCAAGUUUGACAAACUGAAAACUCCGGUUAAGAUCGCCAUGGUUGGAAAAUAUACCGGCCUGUCGGAUUCUUAUCUAUCUGUUUUAAAGGCUCUCUUGCACGCAUCAGUUGCUAUGGAAAGGAAACUUGUACUGGAGUGGGUUCCUUCCUGUGAUCUUGAAGAUUCUGCAGCCAAAGAGACCCCUGAAGCCCAUCAGAAAGCAUGGAGACUACUGAAGGGUGCGGACGGUGUGCUUGUUCCUGGAGGCUUCGGAGAUAGAGGAGUUGAGGGCAAAAUUCUCGCUGCGACAUAUGCACGGGAGAAGAAUGUUCCUUAUCUUGGCAUUUGCUUGGGUAUGCAAGUCGCUGUGAUCGAGUUUGCCCGUUCGGUUAUGAAACUAGAUGGCGCAAAUAGCACAGAGUUUGACCCGGCCACAGCAUCACCCUGUGUCAUCUUCAUGCCAGAGGGCUCCAAAACCCAAAUGGGGGCGACGAUGCGCCUUGGAUCAAGGAGGACGCAUUUCCUAGCCAAUAACUGCAAAUCCGCAAAGCUGUAUGGCAAUGCUACCUCCAUCGAUGAAAGACAUCGACAUAGAUAUGAGGUGAACCCUGAAAUGGUUCCAUUGCUUGAGAAGGCGGGUCUUUCAUUUGUUGGCAAGGAUGAAAGUGGAAGACGCAUGGAGAUCAUUGAGCUGCCGAAUCAUGUGUUCUUCAUCGGUGCACAAUUCCAUCCUGAAUUCAAGUCAAGACCAGGAAAGCCAUCUCCGCUUUUCUUAGGGUUAAUAGCGGCAGCAUCCGGACAACUAGACCUGCUGCUCAAGCGCAGCUGCGGCGUCAUCAGUUCGAAACCGACACCACCCAGAUAUAGCACCAACGGCACCGGCACUGCGGUCCUGGCCAUAAAACCUUACCUCAACGGGCACGCGAAGAAGGCACUCACCAGUUUGGUGAACGGAUGCUACGCGAAUGGCAACGGCAUCCACAUCUAA